RNAcentral lists this ribosomal RNA (253 nucleotides) under uncultured bacterium. RNAcentral's name for it is "partial 16S ribosomal RNA". It matches the Rfam family "Bacterial small subunit ribosomal RNA", at positions 524 to 776 of the family's 1533-position model. The record is from RNAcentral.
UACGUAGGGUGCGAGCGUUGUCCGGAAUUAUUGGGCGCAAAGCGCGUGUAGGCGGCCAGAAAAGUCCGCUGUGAAAACUCGAGGCUCAACUUCGAGCUGUCGGUGGAAACUUUCUGGCUAGAGUCCGGAAGAGGAGAAUGGAAUUCCUGGUGUAGCGGUGAAAUGCGCAGAUAUCAGGAAGAACACCCGUGGCGAAGGCGGUUCUCUGGGACGGUACUGACGCUGAGACGCGAAAGCGUGGGGAGCGAACAGG